RNAcentral lists this ribosomal RNA (291 nucleotides) under Foraminifera environmental sample. RNAcentral describes it as "partial small subunit ribosomal RNA". It matches the Rfam family "Eukaryotic small subunit ribosomal RNA", at positions 1176 to 1422 of the family's 1831-position model. The record is from RNAcentral. Lineage: Eukaryota; Foraminifera.
GUGGAGCGUGUGGCUUAAUUUGACAACACAGAGAAUCUUACCAGGUCAGGACAUAUUGAGGAUUGACAGUUACAGGAUAUCUCUUAUAUAAUUUUUAUUAUAUAAGGUAAGAUAGUGUAUAGAAUGAUAGUUCUUUCAUGAUUAUGUGAUAAGUAGUGCAUGGCCGUUGUUAGUUCGUGGAAUAAUCUGUCUGCUUAAUUGCGUACCUAAUAAACUAAUAAUGUUUAGGUUUUUAUCAAAACCUUAUUUAAUACAUUGUUUAUAUAUAUAUAUCUGCAACGAACGUGACCG